UGGAAUUAUUGUAAUCCUUAAGUUGAUUAUGUUGUCAUGAUCCUUUUGGGGGAAAAUUCUUUUUUUCCAAAACGAUCACAUGGUAAUGUAAAAAUGGAGAUUUGAACUCUGGACUCCAUUCCCCAGAAGUCCUUGCUCACUUCCCAAAAUGCCUUGUAACCUCACCUAGGCCGAGAGCGAGAUGGGGUAUUUAACUUGGUUGUAAAGGCUACUGGGUCCUCUUUUCUACUUCCGCUUCCCAGCAGACGCAUCUCUUUCAUUUUGUAGGUGAGGUUGUCUAGGGCUCUGUGGAAAGGAAACAAGCCUGACAGUUUGUGGGGGAAAGGCCCAACUGGGAGUGGCAGUUGGGUCUUGUGACUAGCACUUCCUUCCUGCUGGGAGUGGCAGUGGGGUCUGGUGACUAGUCCUUCCUUCCUGCGAGGUAGGUCUUGCUUCCUGGGUGUUGGAGGAGAGAGGAGCAUGGUCAGCCCAGUCUGGAGUGGCAUGCUCUUCUUGGUUCAACCAGAAGACACAGGCCUCUGAAGAGUCCUUUCCCCAAGUCUCUCUGAUUGGUGGACUCAGAACUCGGUCUGGACAAGAGCUUGGUGGCAGCUGGUUGGCAUAG
This 604-nucleotide long non-coding RNA is filed under the name Monodelphis domestica (gray short-tailed opossum). RNAcentral's name for it is "lncRNA (ENSMODG00000046692.1)". Lineage: Eukaryota; Metazoa; Chordata; Mammalia; Didelphimorphia; Didelphidae. The record is from RNAcentral.